This 2877-nucleotide long non-coding RNA is filed under the name Dermacentor andersoni. Its description in RNAcentral is "uncharacterized LOC126532343". The record is from RNAcentral. Lineage: Eukaryota; Metazoa; Arthropoda; Arachnida; Ixodida; Ixodidae.
AUGAUGCGGAAUGAUGGAAACUGUGUGCAUGAGGGCACGCUUGCAGACGGUGUUCAAAACUGUUCUCAGUUGCUUCUUUAGUAUAAGAAAACUACCUGUAAUAAGGCCCACUUCUUUCAUAAUGGAUGUUCCUUUUAAUGCGUUUAGCAUUCUUUGGGAACUAGCCAUGAUUUUUUGUGACUGCAUAACUGUUUACGUGGGCCGGCCCCAAGGAUAGCGCAGUCUAACAGCAAUAAAGACCACAUGGUGGUACUGUGCGGUACGACAGAGUGGCACGGUAGUAAGGCGAGCAUUCUCACCUUCUUUUCUCGUGACAGCUAGCGUUUUGCGACACUGUUGUUGAGAAGCUGCACCUCUGGUCGCAGACGCUGAUACCAGAGGUGUUUGUAUACAUAGUUUCAUAAAUUAUUACUAGAGGGAACUGUGGUGCUAGUGUCUAGGGUAGCUGCAACAGGCGCGGUUCUGCCAGCAUAGGAAUUAUGGGAAGAUGGAUUUGCCUAAACUUCCUCCUUCUGGUUUUAAAUGGCUUCUCGACCUUGUGAACUCGUUAUUUUCAAGAAAAUACUGUGUAUUAAACAAUUAAAUAAGCAUUAGUAAAAUUGUCCAACAGCGGGAUUUGAAUGCAGGACCUCUAGCACACACUUUGAAACUAUUACACCACGGACGCAUGCAUCAACAAGCGACACAGAACACCGUUGUGAAUUUCUUGUGGGCAAGCCAGCAUGGUGAGAAGCUUGGCGCAUUUGAAUUUGGCCACCUGGACAGGUUGAGCCACUGCAAUUAGUAGCGAUUGUUCAUGUUUCCAGAUCAUCGUGCACUUAGAAAAGUAUAGAUCGCUUUGAAAUUUAGGUCAAUCAAGUGUAAUAAACAAAGCCACAAGAACGUCUGAACCCACAAGUAUGAAGAUCUAUGUACUUGCUAAGUACAAAUCUAUGUAUUUCCCAUCAUUCCCAUGAUGGCUGAAUGAUCAUAGUGCCAGAGUUUCCUCUAGCAAUUGUUUUAUGAAAUUAUGGUUGUACGCACAGUACUGGUCUCUGAGGAAGUCGUUCUCGAAGUACUUUGGGUUCGGCGUACGGCACGGUGGCAAGGCAAACACCACCCAUAACACGUAGUGCAACAUAACACAACCACCUCCCAAAGCAUGCUAAACACAUUCUUGAAUAGCAACUAGGGUUGAUUUGCGAUAAAUGUUUUUCUAGUAUAUUGUGCAACAGUGAACUACAAAAGAAAAAUGGUGCAAGUUGAGGGGGAUUAUAUUUUCUGCAAAGCAAGUACUGUUCAAGUGAGUUAACAUUUGCAGCACCUUUCAUUGUACUGCUGCAAUGCUGCAACAUCAUCUCCUGUAUAACUAGCGUUUGAGAUUUUCCCGAUGUCUUAAUCAUUGAGAGCCACCAGUAUAAGGCAUUCUGGCACUAAUUACAGCUUCACUUUUUGGCUGCACAAGUCAACCGACUGGUUAUAAGGGCUCUCUCCACAGAACUUGUGUAUUUUUUUUUCCCCAAUACAUUUAUCUUUCAUGUCAGUUGCAAAGAACUGUCACUGAAAGAUGUAGUUGAUUUUAACAAAUUUUGGUCAGCUGCUGAAGCACUGCCACAGCUGGGCUGGUCAUAGCACGCAAAAGGCAAAUUUACAAUUGCCAACUGUUUGGUGGUCCCUGUCGAGUCUGAAUUAUUGAUAGGCGACUCUAUGCAGGAACACUAUGCUAAACAUGCCAUUAGGGAUGUUCGCAUCAAAAUCACGGUGUAUAUAGAUAGCGCAGAAACCAUAGACUAUUGUUAUUUAAGCCUCCCUCCCCUUACCUGUCCCCACCUGACCAUGGACAGAAGAGAAGGCUGGACAGGCAGCAUCCUGGUACAGAAAAAUUUCGAGGGGGAGGGGGGACAUGCGCAGUGUGCCCUCUGGGUUGCCUCAAUGCGCACCUCCGGGCGAGGAGUACAUAGAAGCAUUCUAGUGACCUCCUCACCCGCCGCUCUGUACAGAGUAAGAAAAUUCUUUGAUGGGGCUCUCGCCGUCACAACCAGUUUUCAUAGCACUGUCCACCAUUGCCACGCCCAGCUCGCGUUUCGGGACAUGCUGGCACUUUGGCAGGAAUUUGUUGCGGGUGUCAGUUCGCUGAGCGUUGUCGUGCAAAAUGCCUGGCUGCUGUGUGCUACUGUGUUCAAACCACUCCGGGAAUAUUUGACAGUUGUUCCAUUUUCUGAGAGAACCAAAAAGAAUUGUGCGAGUUGCAAGGAUCAAGUGCAGCAAAUGGAGCCUACGAAAACCUCGUCCAUAUGCUUGAGUGUAGUGACAAAUUGUUGUGUAUCUUCUUUCUGUUACAUCUUUUUAGAAACAAAUUAGCCAACAUUCCAACAAUUACAAACAACAUUUGUUGGAAAAAUUAUCCAUUAUGCGACCUGGGUAGCCAACCGGAUAGCUUGUCCACGUCAAUUGGGCGAACUAUGCCAAUGAGGAGGUGCUGCUGAGAUUGGUAGCAAUGCACAUUCUUAAAACCUUGUACUAAAAAGUUACACGCUUUACACAGAGCGCUUAAAUGCGUCACUUAAUGAUCAGAAGGACCUACCCUAACGACUCUGUACAUUUGUACAAAAUCAACAAUAUCUUUUCAGGGACCUUUUAACUUGCUGUAAUAAUUGUUGAUUAAUGUGGCUGACAAAUGCGCUAAAUCUUAUAUUUUUACUGAGACCAUCUCUCUAUGAAAUUUACGGCAGAACAUGAGGUACUGCGCUAUUUUUUGAGAUGUUAAAGAUUAUUGUAGCACCUCUCUUUGUUCUCAAGCAACAAAAUAUUUUUGGUCGCUUGUUUGGAUUUGACGUAAUAGAAAAAUGUAACAAAAUUGAUUUUGUAGACAAUAAAACAUGUAUUUAAAAUUCUCAA